ACCAAUACUCACCAAAACUGUUGUGUUGGAGGAGGGCGAAUUUGCCAUCUAUAAUUUUGUAUUUAGUUCAGUUUGGCACUAAAAAAUGAGUUUUGAUUUACGAGAUGAGAUACAUCAUUCAACCUCAUUAAAAAUACAUACAUUUACAGAAUGGUGCUUCAUUACCCUCCUCACCUCACCCACAAUAAAGCGGACGACGAACACGCAUCGAGCUGGAAUUUAUGGGAACAAUGGUUUUCUGAUGGUAUCGUGCAAUGAUGGUCUUAACCCAAUGCAAGCUGCUGUCUGUGCAAUAAUAGAAGAAAGUUUUAUCAAGAAGGACAACAUGUGUGCAGCUUUUCUUCAUUCUAAGAUCUUAACUCCUCUUGUUUCAUAAAGCACUAGGAGCAAAAAUACUUGCAUUUGUGGAAUACCCAUAUAUAUUUGAUACCUCCGUUUCCUUCAAAUAAAUCUCGGUUCACGAAAAUAAAUUACUUGCCAGUGUGCAGUAGAUUAGUUCACAAAAAUAAAUUACCAUAUUUGUUUGUAGUUGUAUCCCUGACUAAUAAAGAGUUGGUUCGGUGCUGCAGUAUCAAUUCUUAUUAUAAAAUGGGUCUUCUUAUGAUGUUCUUAUUAGUAUCGUUACUCCAUCUGGAGAAUGAUGUUUACUCUUUCAGCUAACAGCAUAUUUGAAACAAAAAGUUCCUUGUCAUUUUCAUUUGUAAAAUUAAAUUUGUAGUGUGAAUCUGUUAUGCUUAAUCAUGGUGGGGGUCCUUUGGAAGUUGUUCCUGGCUCCAGGCAUAAUUCUGCUAGCUACAGAGCUUCAAAUCCAUAAGUACAGCUUAACAAUUUGGAUUUCAAUCAUUCUUUCUAUCCAUUAUGGUUUGGUUUUAAAUGCUUUGAGAGCUUUUUAUUAAGAUUUUGUAUGAUUAAGAACCUAAAAAAUACCUUGAAUGCCCUCAAUAUUUAGAGUUAGUUAUAGUGAUUUUGUACAGAGCUUUUGCCUGCAAAGGUUGUCCGUGUUACUCUACGGGUCAUCUGGCAGCAUAUGUAAGGAUGAUAGGAAACUGUUAAAAAGCUAGGCUAAUAGGAAAUUGUCAGAUGUAAGUCCUCAUGUCUUCAGCUCACAAAUGGCAUGCAUGCCAAAUAUUAAAAUGACGUUGUUAAAGAAGAUAUAUGUAGGAAAUUUCUAUGAUUGUUAUUUAUUGACAGUUUAUGCAUCUUCCUGAUUGUACAGAAACUUAUAAUGCAGUCUAUCAAAGCAUUGUUUUUUCAGCUCAGAUCUUAGAAAAUUAGAAUGUCGUAUGGAUUUACUAAUUGUGGAGAUAAAUCUUAUAGCAGGAAUAUGUGUAUUUUACUUUGUAGGCAAAGUAGGCAUGUUAGUUCAUGCGGUUUAUGACAAGAGUUUUGAAAAACCAGGGGUGGGCAAGCUGUCAUCAAUUAUAUUUGCUUACCUGUACUCAUCAGCAAUAUAAUAAAGCAAAAUUAUGUUAUCAAACAUACUCUGGUUUAUUUAAAGUUUCACCUUGCAAGAGUUAGUUCAGGGUUUACGGUGUGAUAGUGUUUGUAUUAUAUGGAACUUCUGCAGCAAUCCAUGAUAAAGCUCCACAAUAAAACCUCUUUUUUAAGUUAGAUGUCUUAUUUUGUGAACCCUUGAUAACGCAAGAAUUAAUUGUGCUAUAGUU
Non-coding RNA from Lolium perenne, 1664 nucleotides. The record is from RefSeq and is a predicted model, not a curated record. NCBI's taxonomy places the organism in Eukaryota, Viridiplantae, Streptophyta, Magnoliopsida, Poales, Poaceae.